Molecule: ribosomal RNA, 381 nt
Filed under: uncultured eukaryote
Lineage: Eukaryota
Description: partial 18S ribosomal RNA
Rfam family: Eukaryotic small subunit ribosomal RNA
Source: RNAcentral
CAAUAGCGUAUAUUAAAGCUGUUGCGGUUAAAAAGCUCGUAGUUGGAUUUCUGUCAAGGACAACUGGUCCGCCCCUCGGGUGAGCACAUAGUUUGGUCUUGGCAUCUUGUUGGAAACUGUUGCUGCACUUGGUUGUGUGGCGCAGUGUCCAGCACUUUCACUUUGAGGAAAUUGGAGUGUUUCAAGCAGGCACAUGCCUUUGGACACAGUAGCAUGGAAUAAUUAGAUUGGGCUUUUGCUCCAGCUUGUCGGUUUCUGGAGCUGAGGUGAGAAUUAAUGGGGAUUGUUGGGGGCAUCCGAAUUUAGCCGUCAGAGGUGAAAUUCUUGGAUCUGCUAAAGACGGACAACUGCGAAAGCGUUUGCCCAGGAUGUUUUCAUUGA